AACGAACGCUGGCGGCAUGCCUAACACAUGCAAGUCGAACGAGACCUUCGGGUCUAGUGGCGCACGGGUGCGUAACGCGUGGGAACCUGCCCUUAGGUUCGGAAUAACUCCCCGAAAGGGGUGCUAAUACCGGAUAAUGUCUUCGGACCAAAGAUUUAUCGCCUUUGGAUGGGCCCGCGUUGGAUUAGCUAGUUGGUAGGGUAAAAGCCUACCAAGGCGACGAUCCAUAGCUGGUCUGAGAGGAUGACCAGCCACACUGGGACUGAGACACGGCCCAGACUCCUACGGGAGGCAGCAGUGGGGAAUAUUGGACAAUGGGCGAAAGCCUGAUCCAGCAAUGCCGCGUGAGUGAUGAAGGCCUUAGGGUUGUAAAGCUCUUUUACCCGGGAUGAGAAUGACAGUACCGGGAGAAUAAGCUCCGGCUAACUCCGUG
RNAcentral lists this ribosomal RNA (433 nucleotides) under uncultured bacterium. RNAcentral's name for it is "partial 16S ribosomal RNA". It matches the Rfam family "Bacterial small subunit ribosomal RNA", at positions 29 to 507 of the family's 1533-position model. The record is from RNAcentral.